This 774-nucleotide ribosomal RNA is filed under the name uncultured Neocallimastigales. Its description in RNAcentral is "partial large subunit ribosomal RNA". It matches the Rfam family "Eukaryotic large subunit ribosomal RNA", at positions 20 to 633 of the family's 3401-position model. The record is from RNAcentral. Lineage: Eukaryota; Fungi; Neocallimastigomycota; Neocallimastigomycetes; Neocallimastigales.
UACUAGAGUAGCACUCGCAUAUCAAUAAGCGGAGGAAAAGAAACUAACAAGGAUUCCCCUAGUAACGGCGAGUGAAGCGGGAAGAGCUCAAAUUUGAAAUCUUAAAGGGUUUCCCUUUACGAAUUGUAGUUUAAAGAAGUGUUUUCUGUUGAGGUUUUGGUAAAAGUUCUUUGGAAUAGGACAUCAUAGAGGGUGAGAAUCCCGUAUUUGACCUUUACUUUCAACCUUGUGAUACACUUUCAAAGAGUCGGAUUGUUUGGGAAUGCAGUCCAAAAUGGGUGGUAAAUUUCAUCUAAAGCUAAAUAUUGGCGAGAGACCGAUAGCGAACAAGUACCGUGAGGGAAAGAUGAAAAGAACUUUGAAAAGAGAGUUAAACAGUACGUGAAAUUGUCAAAAGGGAAGCGUUUGACACCAGUGUUGUUUUUCUGAAAAUCAAUUAAAGAACUGUUUAUGCUAAGUUGUUUAGACUUUAUCAGCUAACUGUUUAGUUUUGAGCCUUUCUUUAAUGCACUUUUCAGUUAACAAGUCAACAUCAAUUUCUUUUGCUGUAAAAAAGCUUGAGGAAGGUGGCUUGAGAUUCGUCUUAAGUGUUUAUAGCCUCUUGCCUAUGCAGUCGGAGAGAUUGAGGUCUGCAGCGUAGAUCCUUCGGGGCUAAAUGCAUUUGUGCUAAGUUAUAGCAUUUUAUAGACAACUUGUUGACUAUGAUUUGUCUUGUAGCUUACUCGCUUAUGUUAUUUUACCUACGCUUAGGAUGUUGAAGACUCUACAGAGAUA